CAGCCGCCGCGGUAACACCGGCAGCUCUAGUGGUAACAAUUUUAUGGGCCUAAAGCGUCCGUAGCCGGUUUAAUAAGUCUCUGGUGAAAUCCUGUAGCUUAACUGUGGGAAUUGCUGGAGAUACUAUUAGACUUGAGACCGGGAGAGGUUAGAGGUACUCCCAGGGUAGAGGUGAAAUUCUGUAAUCCUGGGAGGACCGCCUGUUGCGAAGGCGUCUAACUGGAACGGUUCUGACGGUGAGGGACGAAAGUUAGGGGCGCGAACCGGAUUAGAUACCCGGGUAGUCCUAACUGUAAACGAUGCGGACUUGGUGUUGGGGUGGCUUUGAGCUGCUCCAGUGCCGAAGGGAAGCUGUUAAGUCCGCCGCCUGGGAAGUACGGUCGCAAGACUGAAACUUAAGGAAUUGGCGGGGGAGCACCACAACGCGUGGAGCCUGCCGGUUUAAUUGGAUUCAACGCCGGACAUCUCACCAGAGGCGACAGCUGUAUGAUAGCCAGGUUGAUGACUUUGCUUGACUAGCUGAGUAGUGGUGCAUGG
This 537-nucleotide ribosomal RNA is filed under the name uncultured archaeon. RNAcentral describes it as "bacterial SSU rRNA". It matches the Rfam family "Archaeal small subunit ribosomal RNA", at positions 459 to 997 of the family's 1478-position model. The record is from RNAcentral.